CCCUUAGAUGUUCUGGGCCGCACGCGCGCUACACUGAUGCAUUCAACGAGUUUCUUCCUGGUCCGAGAGGAAUGGGUAACCUUUUGAAAGUGCAUCGUGAUAGGGAUAGACUAUUGCAAUUAUUGGUCUUCAACGAGGAAUUCCUAGUAGACGUAGUUCAUCAGACUGCGUCGAUUACGUCCCUGCCCUUUGUACACACCGCCCGUCGCUCCUACCGAUUGAAUGCUCAGGUGAGCCAUUCGGACUUUCAUCAUGCUGGUUUCCAGUUUUGAUGAAGGAAAGUCUUGCGAACCUUAUCGUUUAGAGGAAGGAGAAGGCGUAACA
Molecule: ribosomal RNA, 324 nt
Filed under: uncultured eukaryote
Lineage: Eukaryota
Description: partial 18S ribosomal RNA
Rfam family: Eukaryotic small subunit ribosomal RNA
Source: RNAcentral